This 332-nucleotide ribosomal RNA is filed under the name uncultured bacterium. RNAcentral describes it as "bacterial SSU rRNA". It matches the Rfam family "Bacterial small subunit ribosomal RNA", at positions 568 to 898 of the family's 1533-position model. The record is from RNAcentral.
CGUCUAGGCGGCCGACUAAGUCCCGCGUGAAAGCUCCUGGCUCAACUAGGAGAGGGCGCGGGAGACUGGCUGGCUAGAGACUCGGAGAGGGGUGUGGAAUUCCCGGUGGAGUGGUGAAAUGCGUUGAGAUCGGGAGGAACACCAGAGGCGAAGGCGGCACCCUGGCCGAGUUCUGACGCUGAAGCGCGAGAGCGUGGGGAGCGAACGGGAUUAGAUACCCCGGUAGUCCACGCCGUAAACGAUGACAACUAGGCGUUGGGGGUCCAAGGACGCUCAGUGCCGCAGCAAACGCGGUAAGUUGUCCGCCUGGGGAGUACGGCCGCAAGGCUAAA